UGAGCUCUUCCGAUCUCUGGCGGAGAGGCUGGUGCAGCUGGAGUGGAAUGAGUGGGUGAUGGAUGGAGAAGCGGGAUGUGGAAUCAGAGCAAUCGUGGGGAGGGGAGUAUCACACCCCGUGGGACCUCAAAGGCCACUUGAAGACAGAGUGAGGUGUGGGGCACAGCAGUGUCACGAUCUGACUUGACAUUUAUAAAGGCUCACUCUGGGCCCGUGUUAGGAAUUCUGUGUAGGGGAGCACGGGUGGGAGCAGAGCAAUCUGCGAGGUGAUUAGUGCAAGAAGCGAGGACAGAGACCGCAGUGGUUGGGUCAGAAGGCUAACCAAGGAGGUGGGAGAAGGGGAAGGCGGCCUUGGUGCUAAAACCAUAACGCUAAAGUCCUAUUUCUUCUUAAAGUUGUGGUACUAGCUGGUGGCUUAGUGUGGCACACAUGUUGUCGAAUGUC
This is a long non-coding RNA of Lynx canadensis (Canada lynx), 444 nucleotides long. RefSeq lists it as uncharacterized. The transcript has 3 exons. NCBI's taxonomy places the organism in Eukaryota, Metazoa, Chordata, Mammalia, Carnivora, Felidae. The record is from RefSeq and is a predicted model, not a curated record.